Long non-coding RNA from Ictalurus furcatus (blue catfish), 1486 nucleotides. RefSeq lists it as uncharacterized. NCBI's taxonomy places the organism in Eukaryota, Metazoa, Chordata, Actinopteri, Siluriformes, Ictaluridae. The record is from RefSeq and is a predicted model, not a curated record. The transcript is spliced from 2 exons.
GCGGCCACAAAGGGCUCCUUCUGAUUGGCUGAGAGUGCCAACACGCGCGCAGGAGGGAGGAACCCCGGCCAAGAAGGACGGACACACACACACUUAGUUACUUUUCGGACCCAAAAAACUUUUCAGCACAGAGUCAGUGUGGCUUAGUCAGACCGGGAAUCCGCUGUCUCUCAGUGACUCGAUGACAUUUCUUAAAUCAGACAUUAAGGAUGUACGACGCUGCUUCAGCCUACAGUAAAGGGAAGCCAGCAAAACAUGGAGAGUUAUAACCCACUCCACAAGUUCACUGCCACUGCUGCGAAGUCAAGAGUGAGCCACCGGACGGCACUGUUUCUUAAUCAGCUCAACAUUUCUCUUUUUUUUUCUUUCUUUUUUUUUUUUUUUAGUAUAAAGGGUUUGCAUGGACCUUUAUUAUAUUUCUGCUUUCUACAAAAGUUCAUUUAUAAAUCAGGUAGCCAAGCUCUCACUAAGACAGUUUUAGUUUGGAUGACGUUUACAUUAUAAAACAUAAACAUACAAAACAUCUGUAAAGGUUUCUUGUCUUCAAGGUUUUCUGAAUACACACGGUCUCAGAGAAAAAGGUACCGAACUGUACUUUUCCUUGUUGCGGAUGGUACUAUCAACAGUAAAUGUUUUUUUUAUUUUUUUAUUUUGAUGGUUCACCCCAGGGACAAGAAAAAUUACAGUUUGGUACCGUUAUUUCUGAGGCCAAGGUGACCUCUGUAAAAUAUUUAAACCAUCAUUCAAGGAGCUUCAUAUGGUCAGUUGGAUGGACAUAAAUGUAAAUGUAAUUUUAAAACUUGAUCUUCAGAAAUAAUUCAUUGCUAUAUGGGGUGCUUGAUAAAGCUACUACAGGAAGUAUACAAUCAACACCUAAAGAAGCAUACAACUGUCUCUCUGUCUGUAUAUUCUCAUAUCCAAGUGAUUUUUUUGGCUUUACGUCCACAUUGAAAUACUCCUUACAGCUUCAGACACAGCCCACAGUUUAUAGCUCAAUAUAUCUGCCAGAUUCAUGCAGAAGCCUUUAUCAAGAUUUACAACAAUAGUGUCCUAUAAGGAUUCAAUCUGUUAAAGAGAACCCCAUCUGUAUAUAAAAUAUAUGCCUCAUUCUGUCAGCCAAAGCAUAACAUUCUUUGUCUUACAUCUCGCAUUAUCCAUAUCAAUCAGAAAAAUAUGUCAAGAUCUGCUACUGAAGUAAAAGAUAACAUACAUUUCUAUACUUUAUAGACACAUGUCAUGCUGUAUAUUCUUAAAGACUCUUUACAGGUUCUUUGAAUGUUUAAUAGUUCUAGCGUUCUGACAGUGUUCUAGUUGGGAACCCGAGUAGGGUGCUAGAAGGUAUCUCACUUAACUUACUAAUAGAUAAAAUACUGUAUUUAACUAACAUACUAUAUAGAUAAAGCACAUAAGCAUAACUUACUAUAUUACACUAAUACAUAGAUCCAACAUCAUAAUAUAUGAAAAAAAAAACCCUUUUAGUUCAGAC